RNAcentral lists this ribosomal RNA (256 nucleotides) under uncultured bacterium. Its description in RNAcentral is "partial 16S ribosomal RNA". It matches the Rfam family "Bacterial small subunit ribosomal RNA", at positions 524 to 776 of the family's 1533-position model. The record is from RNAcentral.
UACAGAGGGUGCAAGCGUUAAUCGGAAUUACUGGGCGUAAAGCGUGCGCAGGCGGUUAUGUAAGACAGGUGUGAAAUCCCCGGGCUUAACCUGGGAACUGCGCUUGUGACUGCAAGACUCGAGUACGGCAGAGGGGGGGUAGAAUUCCACGUGUACCAGUGAAAUGCGUAGAGAUGUGGAGGAAUACCGAUGGCGAAGGCAGCCCCCCUGGGUCGAUACUGACGCUCAUGCACGAAAGCGUGGGGGAGCAAACAGG